This 424-nucleotide ribosomal RNA is filed under the name uncultured bacterium. RNAcentral describes it as "bacterial SSU rRNA". It matches the Rfam family "Bacterial small subunit ribosomal RNA", at positions 207 to 622 of the family's 1533-position model. The record is from RNAcentral.
CAAGACCUUGUGCUUUAGGAGCGGCCGAUGUCGGAUUAGCUAGUUGGUGAGGUAAAGGCUCACCAAGGCGACGAUCCGUAGCGGGUCUGAGAGGAUGAUCCGCCACACUGGGACUGAGACACGGCCCAGACUCCUACGGGAGGCAGCAGUGGGGAAUUUUGGACAAUGGGCGCAAGCCUGAUCCAGCCAUGCCGCGUGGGUGAAGAAGGCCUUCGGGUUGUAAAGCUCUUUCGGCGGGGAAGAAAUGGCACUGGCUAAUAUCCGGUGUUGAUGACGGUACCCGCAUAAGAAGCACCGGCUAACUACGUGCCAGCAGCCGCGGUAAUACGUAGGGUGCGAGCGUUAAUCGGAAUUACUGGGCGUAAAGCGUGCGCAGGCGGUUUUGUAAGUCAGAUGUGAAAUCCCCGGGCUCAACCUGGGAACU